Molecule: ribosomal RNA, 468 nt
Filed under: uncultured bacterium
Lineage: Bacteria
Description: partial 16S ribosomal RNA
Rfam family: Bacterial small subunit ribosomal RNA
Source: RNAcentral
GACGAACGCUGGCGGCGUGCUUAACACAUGCAAGUCGAACGGAAAGGCCCUGCUUUUGUGGGUUGCUCGAGUGGCGAACGGGUGAGUAACACGUGAGUAACCUGCCCUUGACUUUGGGAUAACUUCAGGAAACUGGGGAUAAUACCGGAUAGGAGCUCCUGCUGCAUGGUGGGGGUUGGAAAGUUUCGGCGGUUGGGGAUGGACUCGCGGCUUAUCAGAUUGUUGGUGGGGUAGUGGCUUACCAAGGCUUUGACGGGUAGCCGGCCUGAGAGGGUGACCGGCCACAUGUGGACUGAGAUACGUCCCAGACUCCUACGGGAGGCAGCAGUGGGGAAUAGUGCACGAUUGGCGGAAGCCUGAUGCAGCAACGCCGCUUGCGGGAUGACGGCCUUCGGGUUGUAAACCGCUUUCGCCUGUGACGAAGCGUGAGUGACGGUAAUGGGUAAAGAAGCACCGGCUAACUACGUG